Molecule: long non-coding RNA, 1252 nt
Organism: Gadus macrocephalus (Pacific cod)
Lineage: Eukaryota; Metazoa; Chordata; Actinopteri; Gadiformes; Gadidae
Exons: 4
Source: RefSeq, a predicted model, not a curated record
GGGAGAGUAACCACUUUAGAAUGACAUCCUGGCGGGGCGUGUUCCAAAUAGAAUCAGCGGGUUAGAGAACACGACACUUGUGUUUGAAGCUGAGCGGUGCCUCCGGUUGUGCUGUGUGAAGCUCAGUACUUUGUGUUUCCGUCCGUGCCAUGUUAAGAUAGCUGUAACUUAACCCUGCUUGUUCAAACCCUGAAACCAAGUGGCUCUGGUGGCUCUGUACCCAGAGGAAGAUUCCGGAUGAAAGAGGAGGAGGAUAAUUUAAACUAGGAAAGAGGAACUUGAGUCUCAACUCUGGGCCGACAGAACAUACGUUAAUCUGAUCCAAAUUUAACGCAACCAACGUUAGAAACCCCCCGACAUCAAUACAGACAUGAGGCUUUCAUUUUUAAAAGCAAUUAUCCACCAAUUAGAAAACGAUUGGUGGCUUUUGUUUGUGGUUAAUUUCUGUUAGGGUUUGGUGGGAGCCAACAGUGGUGUUCAUGAGAGGUCUCCAUUACAGAUCAAUGGAGAGCUGAAAGGACAUACAGAACAGAGUGGAAAGGACUGGAAAGAAUAGAGGGACUCGUAAGGUCCUUGUGUUCUCAGCCUCAAGGCCCAUCGAACAGCCUGCUUGGCCAAUAUUACCUCUGCGGGUGGUCAUGGAACCCCUUCGACCUUCUCCCACAGAACUGAGGACCACCGCGGGUUCGACCACCUCUCUGACACCUGAAGCAAGCUCCAGCGCUGGAGGACUUUAUAGUCACAAGGCUGCAGUGAUGCUCAGCGGGACGUGAAAACGACCAGCCAUCGACCAGCAGACGCGUCGGGCCGCGGGGGAGAGUCUGACCUGCAGUGGCCUCACUGAGCGGUGUCCAUAUGAUCAUUUAGUGUCUGCGCGGAAACACCGGGAAGGAGCGGGUGCGAAGGGAGACUAACCAACUUGGGUCCAACACACCCCCUCAGGAUGUCCCGAGCUGACCUUCACAAGAUGGCUGAUCUCCUCAGACAUAUGUUGGGUCUUAACUGUGAUGAUUACCAGUUGGCCGGAGAUUAUUAGUAGUUAGUCGAAAAAAGUGGUUGGGAGGCUGGCUGAUCGAAUACUGAUUUUAAAUAAAGCUCAACAAAAUAUACAUGGAUAUGUUUCUCAAUCGAAAAGCCUAGUUAUAGGAACCAUGUUGUCUAGUGGCUAUGGUGUUCGACGUACGGAUGUUUGCAUAUGAGGUGGUCGCCAAAAACGUUUAGUGGUACACCUAAGGUCAAAGGUCGGGAAGCG